GGAGGAGCAGGGGGACUUGGAGGAGCUGGACUAGGAGGGCUCGGAGGAGGUGCUGCUGCUGCAAAAGCUGCCAAAUACGGAGUUGGAGGUCUGGGAGGAGCAGCUGGUCUUGGAGGUCCUGGAGGACUCGGGGCGACAGGAGGACUGGGAGGGCUAGGAGGUGCUGCUGCUGCUGCCAAAGCUGCUAAAUAUGGUGCAGGAGGACUUGGGGGAGCAGGAGG
This is a long non-coding RNA of Salarias fasciatus (jewelled blenny), 221 nucleotides long. RefSeq lists it as uncharacterized. Lineage: Eukaryota; Metazoa; Chordata; Actinopteri; Blenniiformes; Blenniidae. The transcript is spliced from 3 exons. The record is from RefSeq and is a predicted model, not a curated record.